RNAcentral lists this long non-coding RNA (213 nucleotides) under Capsella rubella. Its description in RNAcentral is "long non-coding RNA (CRUB_LNC001216)". The record is from RNAcentral. Lineage: Eukaryota; Viridiplantae; Streptophyta; Magnoliopsida; Brassicales; Brassicaceae.
AAAAUAAUAAAACUUUUUUCAUGAUUUGCGUUUUGGGCAACAUUUUAAACUUAACAAAAAAAGAAAAAGAAAAAGAAGAAAAAAAAAGAUCAGAUUGUUGUGUUGUGUUGUGUCCGAACGCUGCUGGAACCCAUUGAGAGUAUGACCCACAAAAGCGGCUUUCUCGCUCUCACCGAUCGUUUUUUUUGUUUUCUCGCUUUGGAGCAACCGCCG